CCUACGGGAGGCAGCAGUGGGGGAUAUUGCACAAUGGGGGAAACCCUGAUGCAGCGACGCCGCGUGGGCGAAGAAGUAUUUCGGUAUGUAAAGCCCUAUCAGCAGGGAAGAAGAAAUGACGGUACCUGAGUAAGAAGCACCGGCUAAAUACGUGCCAGCAGCCGCGGUAAUACGGAUGGUGCAAGCGUUAUCCGGAUGUACUGGGUGGAAAGGGAGCGCAGGCGGCACGGCAAGCCUGAUGGGAAAGCCCGCGGCCCAACCGCGGGACUGCAUUGGGAACUACCGGGCUGGAGUGCCGGAGAGGUAGGCGGAAUUCCUAGUGUAGCGGUGAAAUGCGUAGAUAUUAGGAGGAACACCAGUGGCGAAGGCGGCCUACUGGACGGUGACUGACGCUGAGGCUCGAAAGCGUGGGGAGCAAACAGGAUUAGAUACCCGAGUAGUC
RNAcentral lists this ribosomal RNA (442 nucleotides) under uncultured bacterium. RNAcentral's name for it is "partial 16S ribosomal RNA". It matches the Rfam family "Bacterial small subunit ribosomal RNA", at positions 338 to 795 of the family's 1533-position model. The record is from RNAcentral.